GACGAACCGAGCGAACGUUAUUCGGAAUCACUGGGCUUAAAGGGCGCGUAGGCGGGCGGCCAAGUCAGGGGUGAAAGCCCCCAGCUCAACUGGGGAAGUGCCUCUGAUACUGGUCACCUCGAGGGAGAUAGGGGCGUGCGGAACUUCCGGUGGAGCGGUGAAAUGCGUAGAUAUCGGAAGGAACACCGGUGGCGAAAGCGGCGCGCUGGAUCUCUUCUGACGCUGAGGCGCGAAAGCCAGGGGAGCGAACGGG
RNAcentral lists this ribosomal RNA (253 nucleotides) under uncultured bacterium. RNAcentral describes it as "partial 16S ribosomal RNA". It matches the Rfam family "Bacterial small subunit ribosomal RNA", at positions 524 to 776 of the family's 1533-position model. The record is from RNAcentral.